This 2910-nucleotide ribosomal RNA is filed under the name Oceanospirillaceae bacterium ASx5O. RNAcentral's name for it is "Oceanospirillaceae bacterium ASO5 23S ribosomal RNA". It matches the Rfam family "Bacterial large subunit ribosomal RNA". The record is from RNAcentral. Lineage: Bacteria; Pseudomonadati; Pseudomonadota; Gammaproteobacteria; Oceanospirillales; Oceanospirillaceae.
GUUAUAUGGUCAAGUGACUAAGCGUGCACGGUGGAUGCCUAGGCAAUAAGAGGCGAUGAAAGACGUGAUAGCCUGCGAUAAGCUUCGGUGAGGUGGCAAAUAACCUUUGACCCGGAGAUCUCUGAAUGGGGAAACCCACCUGUCAUAAGGCAGGUAUCUGUAACUGAAUACAUAGGUUGCAGAGGCGAACGCGGAGAACUGAAACAUCUAAGUACCCGCAGGAAAAGAAAUCAACCGAGAUUCCCUAAGUAGUGGCGAGCGAACGGGGACCAGCCCUUAAGCUGUUUUGUGGUUAGUAGAACGCUCUGGAAAGUGCGGCCGUAGUGGGUGAUAGCCCCGUAUACGAAAACCUAUAAGCAGUGAAAUCGAGUAGGACGGGACACGUGGUAUCCUGUCUGAACAUGGGGGGACCAUCCUCCAAGGCUAAAUACUCCUUAUUGACCGAUAGUGAACCAGUACCGUGAGGGAAAGGCGAAAAGAACCCCUGUGAGGGGAGUGAAAUAGAUCCUGAAACCGUGUACGUACAAGCAGUGGGAGCCGACUUAGUUCGGUGACUGCGUACCUUUUGUAUAAUGGGUCAGCGACUUAUAUUCAGUGGCAAGGUUAAGCGAAUAGCGGAGCCGUAGGGAAACCGAGUCUUAAAUGGGCGAAUUAGUCGCUGGGUAUAGACCCGAAACCGGGCGAUCUAUCCAUGAGCAGGUUGAAGGUUGAGUAACAUCAACUGGAGGACCGAACCCACUCCCGUUGAAAAGGUAGGGGAUGACUUGUGGAUAGGGGUGAAAGGCUAAUCAAGCCCGGAGAUAGCUGGUUCUCCUCGAAAGCUAUUUAGGUAGCGCCUCGUGUCUAACCAUGGGGGGUAGAGCACUGUUAAGGCUAGGGGGUCAUCUCGACUUACCAACCCUUUGCAAACUCCGAAUACCCAUGAGUUCAAUCACGGGAGACACACGGCGGGUGCUAACGUCCGUCGUGAAAAGGGAAACAACCCAGACCGUCAGCUAAGGUCCCAAAAUUACAGUUAAGUGGGAAACGAUGUGGGAAGGCUAAAACAGCUAGGAGGUUGGCUUAGAAGCAGCCACCCUUUAAAGAAAGCGUAAUAGCUCACUAGUCGAGUCGGCCUGCGCGGAAGAUAUAACGGGGCUCAAACUGUAUACCGAAGCUACGGAUGCGUAUUUAUACGCAUGGUAGAGGAGCGUUCUGUAAGCCGUUGAAGGUCAAGGUGUGAACCAGGCUGGAGGUAUCAGAAGUGCGAAUGCUGACAUAAGUAACGACAAGGGGAGUGAAAAACUCCCCCGCCGGAAACCCAAGGGUUCCUGUCCAACGUUAAUCGGGGCAGGGUUAGUCGGUCCCUAAGGCGAGGCAGAAAUGCGUAGUCGAUGGGAAGCAGUUUAAUAUUACUGCACCUCUUUGUAAUGCGAUGGGGGGACGGAGAAGGCUAGGCCAGCACGGCGUUGGUUGUCCGUGUUUAAGCAUGUAGGCAGAAAUCUUAGGCAAAUCCGGGAUUUCAAUGCUGAGGUGUGAUGACGGUGACUCUACGGAGUCCGAAGUGGUUGAUGCCAUGCUUCCAGGAAAAGCCUCUAAGCUUCAGUUACAAAGAGACCGUACCCGAAACCGACACAGGUGGGUAGGUAGAGAAUACCAAGGCGCUUGAGAGAACUCGGGUGAAGGAACUAGGCAAAAUGGCACCGUAACUUCGGGAGAAGGUGCGCUGGACUUGGUGAAGGGCUUGCCCCGUAAGCUGAGACCAGUCGAAGAUACCAGUCCGCUGCAACUGUUUAUUAAAAACACAGCACUCUGCAAACACGAAAGUGGACGUAUAGGGUGUGACGCCUGCCCGGUGCCGGAAGGUUAAUUGAUGGGGUUAGCGCAAGCGAAGCUCUUGAUCGAAGCCCCGGUAAACGGCGGCCGUAACUAUAACGGUCCUAAGGUAGCGAAAUUCCUUGUCGGGUAAGUUCCGACCUGCACGAAUGGCGUAAUGAUGGCGGAGCUGUCUCCACCCGAGACUCAGUGAAAUUGAAAUCGCUGUUAAGAUGCAGUGUACCCGCGGCUAGACGGAAAGACCCCGUGAACCUUUACUGUAGCUUUGCACUGAACUUUGAACCUAUCUGUGUAGGAUAGGUGGGAGGCUUUGAAGCUGAGACGCCAGUCUUAGUGGAGCCGUCCUUGAAAUACCACCCUGGUAUGUUUGAGGUUCUAACCUAGGCCCGUUAUCCGGGCUGGGGACAGUGUAUGGUGGGCAGUUUGACUGGGGCGGUCUCCUCCCAAAGAGUAACGGAGGAGCACGAAGGUCGGCUAAUCCUGGUCGGACAUCAGGAGGUUAGUGUAAUGGCACAAGCCGGCUUAACUGCGAGACCAACACGUCGAGCAGGUACGAAAGUAGGUCAUAGUGAUCCGGUGGUUCUGUAUGGAAGGGCCAUCGCUCAACGGAUAAAAGGUACUCCGGGGAUAACAGGCUGAUACCGCCCAAGAGUUCACAUCGACGGCGGUGUUUGGCACCUCGAUGUCGGCUCAUCACAUCCUGGGGCUGAAGCCGGUCCCAAGGGUAUGGCUGUUCGCCAUUUAAAGUGGUACGCGAGCUGGGUUUAGAACGUCGUGAGACAGUUCGGUCCCUAUCUGCCGUGGGCGUUUGAGAUUUGAGAAGCGCUGCUCCUAGUACGAGAGGACCGGAGUGGACGAACCUCUGGUGUUCCGGUUGUCACGCCCGUGGCAUUGCCGGGUAGCUAAGUUCGGACAGGAUAACCGCUGAAAGCAUCUAAGCGGGAAACCUCCUUCAAGAUGAGAUCUCACUGGAACUUCGAGUUCCCUGUAGGGCCCUGGAAGACUACCAGGUUGAUAGGUCAGGUGUGUAAGCGUUGUGAGGCGUUGAGCUAACUGAUACUAAUUGCCCGUGAGGCUUGACCAUAUAACACCCAA